CGCGUAGGCGGUAUAUCAAGUCAGCUGUGAAAUACCCGGGCUUAACCUGGGGCUUGCAAUUGAAACUGGUAGACUUAGAGUGCAGGAGAGGGAAGUGGAAUUCCUAGUGUAGCGGUGAAAUGCGUAGAUAUUAGGAGGAACACCAGUGGCGAAGGCGACUUUCUGGACUGUAACUGACGCUGAGGCGCGAAAGCGUGGGGAGCGAACA
This 208-nucleotide ribosomal RNA is filed under the name uncultured bacterium. RNAcentral describes it as "partial 16S ribosomal RNA". It matches the Rfam family "Bacterial small subunit ribosomal RNA", at positions 568 to 774 of the family's 1533-position model. The record is from RNAcentral.